Molecule: long non-coding RNA, 5872 nt
Filed under: Triticum aestivum (bread wheat)
Lineage: Eukaryota; Viridiplantae; Streptophyta; Magnoliopsida; Poales; Poaceae
Description: long non-coding RNA (TAES_LNC017526)
Source: RNAcentral
AUUGUUCUGCUGGGGCACAUGAUAAUAAAAUAGUAGAAAUCAAAUGCAUAAACUACAAAAUAUAACACUGGAGAAUAAUUUAUCUGAUCUCGUAAUAGCUGGGGAAAGGCCACCAUGGACACUGAAGAUUUUGUUCUUGGUAAGUGCAGACAAACCUCCCAAGAAGAAGUUAGGGCAGUGCCAGGUAGGGACGCACCCCUUUCACUUUCUUGUUUGUGUCAUGGGAAAUAUGCAAGCACAGCCAGAAUACUUGACUACUUGUGGCAGGCGACCCUGCCUUGAGUUGUUUCCCGCAAAAAAAAAACAGCAGUCAGUAACACUACACGCUAUUUUUUCGAAAAGGGGGAUCGCCCCGGCCUCUGCAUCAGAGUGAUGCAUACGGCCAUCUUAUUAACGAAAUAAAAGGUUCCAACAAGGUUCCAAAGUCUCCGACUGAAAAGUAUUAAAAAGACAACUCACACAGAGCUAAAGAGGCUAGAAACACAGACUAGCCAAGAUAAGACGCCACAACCGGCUGGCUAAAGAUAGAUAGGUAAACUAAUUGCCUAUCCUAUUACAUGACCGCCAUCCAAACCGGUUGAAGAUAUCCCGAGCUACCAUCUCCCAGCGGAUAGAUCCAGUAACCAAAUGCUCCCUGGCCUCCAUCGGAGUGAGUAGCGACCAUGAACGGAUCACGGCCGUGGCUCAGAAAAUAACCUGCAAAAAGUGAAUACGUGAUGUUCUGUUAAAAACCAAAUCAUUUCUGCAAGUCCAGAUAGUCCACAACAAAGCGCAAACUCCAACACGAAUAUGUCUCGCUAAGUCGGGCUCAAUCCCAGUGAGCCAUGUCCCAAAUAACGUAGUGACAGAAUUCGGUGGAGUAAUAUUAAAGGCAAUGUGAACCGUCCGCCAAAGGACUCUGGCAAACGGGCAAUCAAGAAAGAGAUGUUUGAUCGUCUCGUCCCGAUCACAGAAGCUACACCUCGUAGGUCCUGUCCAAUUACGCUUAAUCAAGUUAUCCUUGGUUAAAAUAACCUGUUUAUGGACAAACCACAUAAACACUUUUAUUUUCAAAGGAACUUUGACAGCCCAAACAUGCUUGGAGGUAGGAAUGGAGCUCGAAUUAAUUACAUCAAUAUACAUUGAUUUAACCGUGAAUACUCCAGACCUAGUCAGUUUCCAGCGUAAUUCAUCGGGUUGUUGAGAAAGAUGUACAUCCAUUAGUCUCCGAACUAGAAGGAGCCAAUCUUCCCAACGANNNNNNNNNNNNNNNNNNNNNNNNNNNNNNNNNNNNNNNNNNNNNNNNNNNNNNNNNNNNNNNNNNNNNNNNNNNNNNNNNNNNNNNNNNNNNNNNNNNNNNNNNNNNNNNNNNNNNNNNNNNNNNNNNNNNNNNNNNNNNNNNNNNNNNNNNGGUUUAGGCUUGAACAAAUGCGGAAUAAACCUAGCGGUUAAUUUGACAAGCACAAAACCUACAACAACUAGGCUCACCUAUGUGCACCAACAACUUAUGCUAAGCAAGAUAAACAACUAAGUGAUAGCAAGAUAUAUGACAAGAAACAAUAUGGCUAUCACAAAGUAAAGUGCAUAAGUAAAGGGUUCGGGUAAGAGAUAACCGAGACACGCGGAGACGACGAUGUAUCCCAAAGUUCACACCCUUGCGGAUGCUAAUCUCCGUUUGGAGCGGUGUGGAGGCACAAUGCUCCCCAAGAAGCCACUAGGGCCACCGUAAUCUCCUCACGCCCUCUCACAAUGCAAGAUGCCGUGAUUCCACUAAGGGACCCUUGAGGGCGGUCACCGAACCCGUACAAAUGGCAACCCUUGGGGGCGCUCACCGAACCCGUACACUUUGGCAACCCUUGGGGGCGGUCACCGGAACCCGUCAAAUUGCUCGGGGCGAUCUCCACAACCUAAUUGGAGACCCCGACGCUUGCCCGGAGCUUUACACCACAAUGAUUGAGCUCCGAACACCACCAACCGUCUAGGGCGCCCAAGCACCCAAGAGGAACAAGCUCAAGGGCACCAAGCACCCAAGAGUAAUAAGCUUCUCAACUUGUAACUUCCACGUAUCACUGUGGAGAACUCAAACCGAUGCACCAAAUGCAAUGGCAAGGGCACACGGAGUGCCCAAGUCCUUCUCUCUCAAAUCCCACCGAAGCAACUAAUGCUAGGGAGGAAAAUGAGAGGAAGAACAAGAAGGAGAACACCAAGAACUCCAAGAUCUAGAUCCAAGGGGUUCCCCUCACAAAGAGGAGAAAGUGAUUGGUGGAAAUGUGGAUCUAGAUCUCCUCUCUCUUUUCCCUCAAAACUAGCAAGAAUCCAUGGAGGGAUUGAGAGUUAGCAAGCUCGAAGAAGGUCAACAAUGGGGGAAGAACACGAGCUCAAUGGAUAAGGUUCAUUGGGGAAGAAAACCCCCUUUUAUAGAAGGAGAAAAAUCCAACCGUUAUGUGCUCAGCCCGCACACGAGCGGUACUACCGCUCCACGAGCGGUACUACCGCUCUGGCGGAAGAAGCAGGGAAAAGGAGCAACCAAACAUGAACCUUGGGGCGGUAGUACCGCUUAUAAGCGGUACUACCGCGCACCCCAGCGGUACUACCGCUGGAGGAGCAGAACACGGGACCAAAAAUGCAGUAGCGGUACUACCGCCCGACCGGAGCGGUACUACCGCUUACAGGCGGUACUACCGCAGAACUGUCGUGCCUUACUGCCGUGCAACUACUGCAAAACUCGACACGAAAAAUGCAAGACCCAGAAUCGAGGCGGUACCAGCGCGGAACCGUAGUCGUACUACCGCUUAUGGCCAUAGGCGGUACUACCGCUUUGGACAGCGGUACUACCGCUUGGGGCGAUAAGCGGUACUGCCGCUCUGGCCGCGGUACUACCGCAGGGAGAAAACCAGAACUGCCAUAACUUCUUCAUAUGAGCUUCGAAUUGAGAAAACUCAAGCUUGUUGGAUACAAGACGAUGAGUAGCAUCAAAACAGCGGCAAGAAGAGGCAAGGAAGGUAUGCCAACAAAUAGAGGAGUGAAACCUCCAACCGAGAAGAACCGGCAUAACCUCCAACAUCGAAAACAUCAUAGAAGAUGCGAGUGAACUCCGUUUUCGAUGAACUCGAGCUUGUCAUCAAGAUGACCAUAAGCUGCAAAACUCACAAAGAGAAGAACCAAACAAGAACCAACAAAGAUGAUGCAAGGAUGCAAUGGUUUGAGCUCUCUAUGAACGAUACGAUCAAGCUACUCAUCGAGAGCCCCCCUUGAUAGUACGGCAAUCGAUCCUAUAACCCGGUCUCCCAACUACCAUCAUGAGACCGGUAAAAUAGAAAACCUAUCAAGAGCAAACCUUUGCCUUGCACAUGGUCCACUUGAGUUAGAUGAUGACGAUCUUGACUCCCUCAAGUUGGACCACCUUUCUUGGUUGUGUUGGCUCGAUGAAGACUAGUUGAUUGCUCCCCCAUACUCCACUAUGGGUGAGCCACUCUUCCGCACAUCUUCACAAGUCCAUUGUCACCACAAUGGACGGCAAACUUCAAGCAUUUGAUCUCUUCAUGAUGCUUCACUUGAACUUGCACACCGCAACAUCUUCACAAGUCCAUUGUCGCCACAAUGGACGGCAAGCUUCAAGCAUUUGAUCUCUUCAUGAUGCUUCACUUGAACUUGCACACCGCAACCUAACCCCACAAAGAACUCUCACGAAGAUCAUGGGUUAGUACACAAAGCGUAAUUGACAAUGCUUACCACACCAUGGGAUCGCUUGAUCCCUCUCGGUACAUCUUGUGCGCUUUGUGUGUUGAUCAACUUGAUUCACUCUUGACUUAGUCUCGAUCAACCUUGACUCUUUCCAACUCUCUUCAGUUGGAUGAUGUCUUGAAGGUAAACAUGAAUGAUCACACAAUCUUCUUCUUCAAGACAUGCUUGCAAUAAGCUCUACUCUCACAUGACCAAUCUUUGGAUAAUUCCUUCAUAACACCUUGGUCACCACAUAAACUCCUUGAAACCAACACAUGGACUUCAAGAAAUGCCUAUGGACAAAUCCUUCAAAUAUAACUCAAGGCAACCAUUAGUCCAUAGAGAUUGUCAUCAAUUACCAAAACCAAACAUGGGGGCACCGCAUGUUCUUUCACAAGUAUCCUCCCAGAAGCGUGUACUAGCGCCGUUGCCAAUAACAACCUUUGUCCUAUUAAACAGAGAUUGUUUGACUUUCAUCAGUCCUUUCCAGAAAGGCGAGUCAGUUGGCCUGACUGUGACCUGGGACAAGGAUUUUGUCUGUAGGUACUUGCUGCGAAGGAUUUGGGCCCACAUGGCAUCAGUCUCAAAAGAAAGCUUCCACAGCCACUUACUAAGAAGGCAUCUGUUCUUAACUUCAAGAUUUUCAAUACCAAGAUCCCCUUGGUCUUUCGGUCUACAGAUGAUAUCCCAUUUUGCAAGUCUGUAUUUUCUUUUUAGAUCAUCACCCUGCCAAAAGAAAUGCGAUCGAUAAAAGUUCAGUCUUUUCCUAACACCAACUGGGACUUGAAAGAACGAUAAGAGAAACAUAGGCAUACUCGUGAGCACCGAAUUAAUCAAAAUUAAUCGGCCUCCGUAUGACAUGAGCUUGCCCUUCCAGCAACUCAGUUUCUUCUCAAACCGGUCUUCGAUGCACUUCCAUUCUCUAUUAGUCAGCUUUCGAUGGUGGAUUGGAAUACCUAGGUAAGAGAAAGGUAAAUCCCCCAAGUCGCACCCAAACAAUUGCCUAUAAGCCUCCUGUUCGUCUUUGGCUCUACCAAAGCAGAACAACUCGCUCUUAUGAAAGUUAAUCUUUAACCCGGUCAAUUGUUCGAAAAGUCAUAACACCAGCUUCAUAUUUCUCGCCUUGGCCAAGUCAUGCUCCAUAAAGAUCAUUGUAUCAUCAGCGUACUGAAGGAUGGAUACACCUCCAUCAACCAGAUGAGGUACCAAGCCACCUACUUGACCAUUCUCCUUAGCCCUUCCUAUCAAGAUGGCUAACAUAUCAACCACAAUGUUAAACAGGAUAGGGGACAUCGGAUCUCCUUGUCUUAGGCCUUUAUGUGCCCGGAAGUAAUGACCAAUAUCGUCAUUCACUUUAAUUCCCACACUCCCUUUUUGCGGAAAUGAUUCAACCUGGCGGCGCCAGGCUUCAUCAAAACCUUUCAUACGCAAUGCCUGUUGGAGAAAUGGCCAUUUGACCUUAUCGUACGCUUUCUCGAAAUCCACCUUAAAAAUUACACCAUCUAAUUUCUUGGAAUGGAUUUCAUGGAGCGUUUCAUGAAGGACGACCACCCCUUCAAGGAUGUUUCUGUCCGGCAUGAAAGUAGUUUGGGAUUGCUGCACCACAGAAUGCGCAAUCUGUGUGAGCCUAUUAGUCCCGACCUUGGUGAAGAUUUUAGAACUAACAUUGAGAAGGCAGAUCGGCCUGAACUGCUCAAUUCUCACAGCAUCCGUUUUCUUAGGAAGCAGUGUGAUAGUUCCAAAAUUCAAGUGAAAUAAUUGAAGCUGUCCAGAGAACAGAUCAUGAAACAUAGGUAGCAAAUCCCCCUUAAUAAUAUGCCAGCACUUCUUGUAGAACUCAACCGGAAAUCCAUCCGGUCCGGGAGCCUUAUUAUUUUUCAAUUGUGCUAUAGCAUCAAACACUUCCUUCUCCGAGAACAGGGCAACCAGAAUAUCUUUGUUCUACACGCUAUUUGAGAAUAAGAAGCGCCUCAUGUUGCUAGAGUUACAGUACCUACCCCUAGGUAUUCUUUGUUCAUUUCCUCCCAAAUUAUCUUUUCGUACCGUGUCUCUUCCUCAUUGUGAAGAUACCCGUCAACCUACAAAAUUAAUGGAGAAUUAGAGAUAACAAAUAACAAAUAACCUAUCACAUACAUCAUAUGCCCAGAAGUGAUUAUGCGUCCAAAUACUU